CUUCCUGCGUGGGGAGGCCUCCGGAAACGAAAGUUUUUCGGCUCCGGGGGUAGUAUGGUUGCAAAGCUGAAACUUAAAGGAAUUGACGGAAGGGCACCACCAGGAGUGGAGCUUGCGGCUUAAUUUGACUCAACACGGGAAAGCUCACCUGAGCAGUAUAUUGUUUGGAUUGACAGAUUGAUAGCUCUUUCAUGAUUCGGUUAAUGGUGGUGCAUGGCCGUUCUUAGUUCGUGGAUUGAUUUGUCUGCUUAAUUGCGAUAACGAACGAGACUCUGGCAUUUAAAUAGUUGCUCUGGCUCGCCAGAAGCAACUUCUUAGUUGGAUUGAUUAUGUUUAAUGAUAUGAAAGAGAGCAAUAACAGGUCUGUAAUGCCCUAAGAUACCCAGGGCCGCACGCGUGCUACAAUGUUAGUGGCAGCGUGAUUGUCCUUCUCUGAUAGGAGUUGGCAAACCGUUGAGUCAUUAUUAUGGUCGGAAUUGAGUAUUGGAAUUAUUACUCGUGAACAAGGAAUUCCAAGUAAGCGUGAGUCAUCAUCUCAUGCUG
RNAcentral lists this ribosomal RNA (543 nucleotides) under Pseudaphelenchus sp. NK2011_1. Its description in RNAcentral is "SSU rRNA". It matches the Rfam family "Eukaryotic small subunit ribosomal RNA", at positions 1071 to 1643 of the family's 1831-position model. The record is from RNAcentral. Lineage: Eukaryota; Metazoa; Nematoda; Chromadorea; Rhabditida; Aphelenchoididae.